This 74-nucleotide transfer RNA is filed under the name Pteropus alecto (black flying fox). It matches the Rfam family "tRNA". From Rfam's summary of the family: Transfer RNA (tRNA) molecules are approximately 80 nucleotides in length. Lineage: Eukaryota; Metazoa; Chordata; Mammalia; Chiroptera; Pteropodidae. The record is from Rfam by way of RNAcentral. RNAcentral also lists the same sequence under 1 other name.
GGCUCCAUAGUUUAGUGGUUAGUACAUCUGCUUUACGUGCAGAAAGUCCUAGGUUCAUGCCCCAGGUGGAGCCA